This is a long non-coding RNA of Pyrus x bretschneideri (Chinese white pear), 1542 nucleotides long. RefSeq lists it as uncharacterized. The record is from RefSeq and is a predicted model, not a curated record. Lineage: Eukaryota; Viridiplantae; Streptophyta; Magnoliopsida; Rosales; Rosaceae. The transcript has 3 exons.
CUCUCACUCAUCUCGCCCUCUCUAUCACUCUGUCACGCUCACGCUCAGAGCUGAGUGCUCCUCUUGCUUAUUUCACACAGCACAAACUCAUAAUAUCCCUUUCAUCACCCAGAUGACGUCGUUUGCUUCAGUUUCCUCCAAAGAACAACUUGGAGUUGAGAAUCAUUUCUCAUUCUCACAGUUGGCUCUGCGUGCAACUGUGUCUAAGUGAUGAGUAGUCGAGCAGUGGAAGACGACGCACUGGCGAAAGCCGCAAGAGCUACCGAAGAUCUUUACCUCCUCCGAGACACCUACUUUCUGGUCGACCUAGAUGACAAAAUCUCUAGAUUAAACGUCGAUUCCGAUCUUGCUCUCAACCUCCUCGAUUCCAUUCCUCUUGAUAAUUUUUCCAUUUACCCAUUUCGUUUUAAUCUCUGUUAAUUCCAUUUGAAGCUGACCUAAGUGCCCUUUUAUUAUAAACCUGAUUUGUGCCUUUCUCUUUUGUGGGUUUUUGUUGAUAUGCUUGUUUCAACUUUGAAGUUCCAAUUUUGGACUACAUUGGUACACAUAGAAGCUUAAACUUUGAAAAAUAGACUAAAAAGUUGAUGAAUUCAAAAUCUCCCCCUAAUAAAAGUGUUGUUUCUGUAACGAUAAUGCCUACAUUGUGUUCUCAAAUCGUUGUCAUUGCUAAUUCCUUUGUUAUUAUGUUGCAUUUGUAUUUGUAUCUUAUUAGUUCAAGUUUCAAAAACUGUGUCUUUUACCAGAGCAAAGAAAACAUCCGGCUCAACGUGCGAAAUACGAAUAUCUGAGAGGAAAGAUAUUGGAUAUUUUACCGAAUUAUAGAAAAGAAGCAAAGUGAUCAUCUCUCAACAGCUGUAAGAAUGCAUUGUGACUUCUUGUAGUUGAGCAUGUUUGUAAUGCUUUCAGUUCACUUCCUGAAAUAAAUUAAAUGACAAUGCAGGUUAAGUUGAAUCCAUCUUUUGCAGAUGCUUGGCUAUGUUUAGGUAACUGCAUUUGGAAGAAGGGAGAUCUAUCUUCAACCAAAAACUGCUUUAAUCUUGCCCUAAGCAAGGUUAUUCUUGAUUAGAUUCUUGUAGUUUUAUUGCAGUGACCUCUCAAUUCAUUGUACUAUAACUUUUAUGAUUGAUAUGUGCAUUGCGUUUGGAGGUAGGGUCCAAACAGGCAAAUACUUUGUCAACUUUCGAUGCUUGAAAGAAAAAUGGCUCAAGGCAACCGUUUUGUCGCUCAACUUGUUUUUCUUGUUGUUUUUCAUGAUGUGUGCAUCAUUAUGCUUACCUAAUUUUCAUCAUUUUUCUGGGGACCGACAAUGAAGCAGAACUUGUUGAUGAAAGCAUUCAACAUGCCAAGGAAGCCAUAACUCUUGAUGUCAAGGAUGGCAAUUCAUGGUACAAUCUUGGAAAUGCAUGUCUUACAAGUUUCUUUGUGACUGGAGCUUGUGAUCAUUCCAAACUUCUGCAAUCUUGGAAGGCAUACCAAAAUGUUGAAAAGGAUGAAAGAAUGCAGUCCAAUCCAGACCUAUAUUUUAACUGUGCCACUGGAAGC